RNAcentral lists this unclassified non-coding RNA (380 nucleotides) under uncultured Chlamydiales bacterium. RNAcentral describes it as "contains 16S-23S intergenic spacer region". The record is from RNAcentral. Lineage: Bacteria; Pseudomonadati; Chlamydiota; Chlamydiia; Chlamydiales.
UCCUAGUUAACCUAGGCAGUCUCGCUAGAGUGCCCACCAUCACGUGUUGGCAACUAACGACAAGGGUUGCGCUCGUUGCGGGACUUAACCCAACACCUCACGGCACGAGCUGACGACAGCCAUGCAGCACCUGUUCACAUGUCUCUUGCGAGAAAACUACAUCUCUGUAGUCGUCAUGUGUAUGUCAAGCCCAGGUAAGGUUCUUCGCGUUGCAUCGAAUUAAACCACAUGCUCCACUGCUUGUGCGGGUCCCCGUCAAUUCUUUUGAGUUUUACCCUUGCGAGCGUACUCCCCAGGCGGUAUACUUAUCGCGUUAGCUACGGUACUGUCGGGGUUGAGCCCAACAACACCAAGUAUACAUAGUUUAGGGCAAGGACUAC